CAGCAGCCGCGGUAAUACGAAGGGUGCAAGCGUUACUCGGAAUUACUGGGCGUAAAGCGUGCGUAGGUGGUGGUUUAAGUCCGUUGUGAAAGCCCUGGGCUCAACCUGGGAAUUGCAGUGGAUACUGGGUCACUAGAGUGUGGUAGAGGAUAGUGGAAUUUCCGGUGUAGCAGUGAAAUGCGUAGAGAUCGGAAGGAACAUCUGUGGCGAAGGCGACUAUCUGGGCCAACACUGACACUGAGGCACGAAAGCGUGGGGAGCAAACAGGAUUAGAUACCCCUGUAGUCCCUGUCUAUUAUAA
This 301-nucleotide ribosomal RNA is filed under the name uncultured bacterium. RNAcentral describes it as "partial 16S ribosomal RNA". It matches the Rfam family "Bacterial small subunit ribosomal RNA", at positions 509 to 809 of the family's 1533-position model. The record is from RNAcentral.